Long non-coding RNA from Aegilops tauschii subsp. strangulata, 1520 nucleotides. RefSeq lists it as uncharacterized. Lineage: Eukaryota; Viridiplantae; Streptophyta; Magnoliopsida; Poales; Poaceae. The record is from RefSeq and is a predicted model, not a curated record.
CCGCAGCCGCCGGCUUCUCUUGCACCCAGCUCCUCCUCCCCGUGCCUUCCUUCCUCCCGUCUCGUUCUCCAAUCAUCGACUUCCCUGUCCAGUCGAGGCGCUCGGAGGUAGUACCGGGGCAAGUACCACCGGUGCGACAUCCAGGCCGGCCCACACCGUCCGGGGGUUCCGUGCUCGGCUAGAUCUGACGAUCUAGCUGCCGGAUCCACCGCGGCAGCAACGCCGGCUGCUACCUCCUCUCCGACCCCGACCACCACACCACCUCAACUCCAGCGCGAGACCCUCUACUCUAUCCAUCCUUUCCAUCCACGGCCAGAACCAGCAAUGCUGCUGCCGGAUCGGUGGCGGCGGUUCCUCAUGGUGGCGUCCCCUGCCAUCUCGCUUCAGCCUCCUCCCGACGACGCGCCGGGGGGCUGGGUCCAGGGCCGGCCCUUGGCCAUGGCAAUGAGUGCAGCCGCCUAGGGCCCAGGUCAAGCAGGGGGCCAUACUGCCCUACUUCAUGUAUACACGUAUGAGUAGAAGAAAAGGACCCCAGCCUUUUGUUCUUCCAUCUUAAAAGUAUCCUAAGGAGACUGAUGAAGCAGCACAUUCGGUGAUUGGCCAGUGAGGCGUUGACAGCAGCCCACGUCCACAGGUUAGUUGUUUCUCUUCUGGAUUGCCCAUCUUUCCUUGUUGAUUGCGAAUUUUGUGAAAGAUUUCUUUGCAUGAAAUUGUUGCACAAGUUGUUGCCUCAUAUUAAUGGUGAUCAAGUAUCAUCAAAUCAGCACAUGAUGAUUAGAUACUGCUUUGUUAUUAUGUUGUGGGAUUGCUCUGUAGCUACUUGCAUAGAAGGCGUCUGUGCUUUUGUCCAAAACUGCUAUCUGUAGGCACGUCGUAAAAUAUGCCUGCGGCGGUGCUUGCGAAGACCUGCGUGUCCGUCAGGCCCACUAAACCUAACUUGCACUAGGGCUUCCAAAAUGUUAGGGCCGGCCCUGGCUGGGUCUAGGCGGCCAUCGGACGCCCCACGGUUAGCGUACUAAUCGCCGGCAUCGACCUCACGCCUGUCUUCCCCAUCCAUGGCGCGCGAAUCCUCAAGGAGGACAACACCGACACCAUGUGUGGUUACCGCAGCCACGACGACUAUGUCCAGUUCUACUUCGUCUCUGGCUCCGCUGCUCAGGAUUAUUUGCUGCCUUUACGAGAGCGAGAAUGGCAUCAUCGACUUCUACCUCCUCCAUCUCAAGGACAAAUCUCAUGCAACCCAUGGUGCUGCAUCUGACGCGAUCAUUUGUAAUUUGGUAGUGACUAUUAUAUGUGUAAUGUACGAGUUUUGGAUUAUUUUUUGUUGUAAAUGAUGGCAAUGUGGCUUUAGUGAUGUACCUCUGAUGGUUGUUGUAAUUGAAUAGAACAAUUUAAUGGAAAUUUGUGCGCUUGGCAGAAUUAUGUGUCUUGUUGAUGGAAAAUAUUUGGGUUGUGGAAAAUUAUUUGUACUAGCAAAUAUGCUCGUGCGUUCCAUUUCUUUUUCACGAUGCGAUAAUUGU